GCGUUUUCAAACAGCGGGACUAACGGACGGACGACUUCAGAGCUACUUCGACUUCCAGUGGCAAUUUUACAAAAUAUAUCCCUCAUGGAGUCUGACCGGGACUGGUAUCUCCCGACAUUAUCUGAAGCUUAGGUCCACUAAGAUGUCCCGUUGAUUGAAGCUGACAUGGAGUCACAGUGACAUCCUUAAAAACUUUUGUCAUGUAUAAUACAUCUCUGCAUCUUAAAAUAUUUCUCUGCAUCUUUAAAUAUUUGUUUUUUUUAUUUUUUGUCUAUGUUUUAGAUUUAAGUGUUUAAGCUGUUUUCAUGAAAAAA
Triplophysa dalaica is the source of this 314-nucleotide long non-coding RNA. RefSeq lists it as uncharacterized. The transcript has 3 exons. The record is from RefSeq and is a predicted model, not a curated record. Lineage: Eukaryota; Metazoa; Chordata; Actinopteri; Cypriniformes; Nemacheilidae.